AACGAACGCUGGCGGCAUGCCUAACACAUGCAAGUCGAACGAGACCUUCGGGUCUAGUGGCGCAAGGGUGCGUAACGCGUGGGAACCUGCCCUUAGGUUCGGAACAACUCCCCGAAAGGGGUGCUAAUACCGGAUAAUGUCUUCGGACCAAAGAUUUAUCGCCUUUGGAUGGGCCCGCGUUGGAUUAGCUAGUUGGUAGGGUAAAAGCCUACCAAGGCGACGAUCCAUAGCUGGUCUGAGAGGAUGAUCAGCCACACUGGGACUGAGACACGGCCCAGACUCCUACGGGAGGCAGCAGUGGGGAAUAUUGGACAAUGGGCGAAAGCCUGAUCCAGCAAUGCCGCGUGAGUGAUGAAGGCCUUAGGGUUGUAAAGCUCUUUUACCCGGGAUGAUAAUGACAGUACCGGGAGAAUAAGCUCCGGCUAACUCCGUG
Molecule: ribosomal RNA, 433 nt
Filed under: uncultured bacterium
Lineage: Bacteria
Description: partial 16S ribosomal RNA
Rfam family: Bacterial small subunit ribosomal RNA
Source: RNAcentral